UGCCCUUGGGAUCUUAGUAGAUGGAGUGGA
This 30-nucleotide non-coding RNA is filed under the name Rattus norvegicus (Norway rat). The record is from RNAcentral. Lineage: Eukaryota; Metazoa; Chordata; Mammalia; Rodentia; Muridae.